CAGCAGUGAGGAAUAUUGGUCAAUGGCCGCAGGGCUGAACCAGCCAAGUCGCGUGAGGGAUGACGGUCCUAUGGAUUGUAAACCUCUUUUGUCAGGGAGCAAAGGGCGCCACGUGUGGCGCUUUGCGAGUACCUGAAGAAAAAGCAUCGGCUAACUCCGUGCCAGCAGCCGCGGUAAUACGGAGGAUGCGAGCGUUAUCCGGAUUUAUUGGGUUUAAAGGGUGCGCAGGCGGAAUGUCAAGUCAGCGGUAAAAUUUCGGGGCUCAACCCCGUCGUGCCGUUGAAACUGGCGUUCUUGAGUGAGCGAGAAGUAUGCGGAAUGCGUGGUGUAGCGGUGAAAUGCAUAGAUAUCACGCAGAACUCCGAUUGCGAAGGCAGCAUACCGGCGCUCAACUGACGCUCAUGCACGAAAGCGUGGGUAUCGAACAGGAUUAGAUACCCUGGUAGUCCACGCAGUAAACGAUGAAUACUAACUGUCCGGGCAGAAUGAUGCCUGG
This 496-nucleotide ribosomal RNA is filed under the name uncultured bacterium. Its description in RNAcentral is "bacterial SSU rRNA". It matches the Rfam family "Bacterial small subunit ribosomal RNA", at positions 349 to 842 of the family's 1533-position model. The record is from RNAcentral.